Molecule: long non-coding RNA, 638 nt
Organism: Puntigrus tetrazona (Sumatra barb)
Lineage: Eukaryota; Metazoa; Chordata; Actinopteri; Cypriniformes; Cyprinidae
Exons: 5
Source: RefSeq, a predicted model, not a curated record
GUAACACCCAACACGCAUGUGCCGCUCGUACUAGGAAGUUCCCCUUUAAAAUGCGAAGAACGCAUGCGUCACAUCCUUUCUUCCCGAGAGUGGAAGGAGCUGGUCACAAGUACAACACGUUGCAGUGUAAUUCGAGGAGCCAAAUGAAGACUGCUGCUGCCAAUGGAAGGGAUCAUGGCAUUUGUCACCGGGAAUGGGUGACCUAAAAACUAGUCACAUUAAAAUGGUCAAAGGAUUGCAACUGAAUGAGGAUAACAUGAGAAAUUCAAAAUGACUGGUAAAUUUGUGUAUUGGUUCAUGUAAAAGGAAUGCCACCUUAGAAAAUGGUGACCUGAAAAUGAAGUGCCGAUGAAUUAAAAAUGGAUGUGUAGGUUUGUACAAAAUGCAAGAUCUGCGUGCAGGAUUCUUCCAGUGUAAGGUCCCUCUGGUGCAAGGAGUCCAGGUCACGGAGAGCACAGGGAAACACUGCAUCGGGUGGAAAAACAAGAGCGGAGGCCCCUGCAUUCCCAAGACAAACGUUUUCAUUCCCAAGCUUAAGAACAUGCACUCACUGUAACUGCUUUAACCCAACUAAACUAAUGUAAUGCUAAGGCGAAUGGGUUAUGAAUGUACAUUGAAAUAAAUUCUUGAUCCCUUUA